Molecule: ribosomal RNA, 202 nt
Filed under: uncultured Pseudomonas sp.
Lineage: Bacteria; Pseudomonadati; Pseudomonadota; Gammaproteobacteria; Pseudomonadales; Pseudomonadaceae
Description: partial 16S ribosomal RNA
Rfam family: Bacterial small subunit ribosomal RNA
Source: RNAcentral
CGAAAGGAACGCUAAUACCGCAUACGUCCUACGGGAGAAAGCAGGGGACCUUCGGGCCUUGCGCUAUCAGAUGAGCCUAGGUCGGAUUAGCUAGUUGGUGAGGUAAUGGCUCACCAAGGCGACGAUCCGUAACUGGUCUGAGAGGAUGAUCAGUCACACUGGAACUGAGACACGGUCCAGACUCCUACGGGAGGGCAGCAGC